GCCUGGGUGGCUCAGUGGGUUGAGCGUCCGACUUCAGCUCAGGUCAUGAUCUCAUGGUUGGUGGGUUCAAGCCCCACGUCGGGCU
Molecule: transfer RNA, 85 nt
Filed under: Felis catus (domestic cat)
Lineage: Eukaryota; Metazoa; Chordata; Mammalia; Carnivora; Felidae
Rfam family: tRNA
About the family: Transfer RNA (tRNA) molecules are approximately 80 nucleotides in length. Their secondary structure includes four short double-helical elements and three loops (D, anti-codon, and T loops).
Source: Rfam by way of RNAcentral